RNAcentral lists this ribosomal RNA (460 nucleotides) under uncultured bacterium. Its description in RNAcentral is "partial 16S ribosomal RNA". It matches the Rfam family "Bacterial small subunit ribosomal RNA", at positions 338 to 795 of the family's 1533-position model. The record is from RNAcentral.
CCUACGGGUGGCAGCAGUGAGGAAUAUUGGUCAAUGGGCGGGAGCCUGAACCAGCCAAGUCGCGUGAGGGAAGACGGUCCUAUGGAUUGUAAACCUCUUUAGGCGGGGAGCAAUGCCGGGCACGUGUGCCCGGCGGGAGAGUCCCCGCAGACUAAGCAUCGCCUAACUCCUUGCCAGCAGCCGCGGUAAUACGGAGGAUGCGAGCGUUCUCCGGAUUUAUUGGGGUUAAAGUGUGCGUAGGCGGAUUUUUAAGUCAGCGGUAAAAUGUCCGGGCUCAACCCGGGCCGGCCGUUGAAACUGGGGAGCUUGAGUGGGCGAGAAGUAGGCGGAAUGCGUGGUGUAGCGGUGAAAUGCAUAGAUAUCACGCAGAACGCCGAUUGCUAAGGCAGCAUACCGGCGCCCGACUGACGCUGAGGCACGAAAGCGUGGGGAUCGAACAGGAUUAGAUACCCUUGUAGUC